CACGCCUACGGGACGCAGCAGUGGGGAAUAUUGCACAAUGGGGGAAACCCUGAUGCAGCGACGCCGCGUGAGUGAAGAAGUAUUUCGGUAUGUAAAGCUCUAUCAGCAGGGAAGAUAAUGACGGUACCUGACUAAGAAGCCCCGGCUAACUACGUGCCAGCAGCCGCGGUAAUACGUAUGGGGCAAGCGUUAUCCGGAUUUACUGGGUGUAAAGGGAGCGUAGGUGGCAGGGCAAGUCAGAUGUGAAAACGCGGGGCUCAACUCCGGGGGUGCCUUUGACACUGUCCAGCUAGAGUGAGGGAGAG
Molecule: ribosomal RNA, 305 nt
Filed under: uncultured bacterium
Lineage: Bacteria
Description: bacterial SSU rRNA
Rfam family: Bacterial small subunit ribosomal RNA
Source: RNAcentral